This is a long non-coding RNA of Cercocebus atys (sooty mangabey), 272 nucleotides long. RefSeq lists it as uncharacterized. The transcript is spliced from 3 exons. The record is from RefSeq and is a predicted model, not a curated record. Lineage: Eukaryota; Metazoa; Chordata; Mammalia; Primates; Cercopithecidae.
GGGCGCAGCGCGCAGGGCGGAGGCAGCAGCGGCGCUGGGCCGGGAGGAGGCCGGCCAGGGUGCGGAGCGGCCCCAGCCCGGCCCCCAGUGGGGAGAUGGCGUCCUACGUAGAUAACAGCUUCCGCCAGGCGGUGAUGAAGAACCCCCCUGAAAGGACCCCCCAGGAUCUGGAAAUAGUAUAUUCCUAUUUACAUGGUAUGGAAGCCUUGUCAAACUUGAGGGAGCAUCAACUUAGGUUAAUGUGUGAAACUGUGAGAUAUGAGAAAAAAAAA